GCAAUGGCCCUGUGCAACGGCGCUGUGUGAACCCCGUCAGGCCCGGAAGGGAGCAGCGGUAAGCGCUUGCUACGUGUGCCACAGUAAGUCUUUGCCCG
Molecule: signal recognition particle RNA, 98 nt
Filed under: Candidatus Magnetomonas plexicatena
Lineage: Bacteria; Pseudomonadati; Nitrospirota; Nitrospiria
Description: Nitrospirales bacterium LBB_01 Bacterial small signal recognition particle RNA
Rfam family: Bacterial small signal recognition particle RNA
About the family: The signal recognition particle (SRP) is a universally conserved ribonucleoprotein involved in the co-translational targeting of proteins to membranes. Archaeal SRP consists of a 7S RNA and homologues of the eukaryotic SRP19 and SRP54 proteins.
Source: Rfam by way of RNAcentral